Molecule: ribosomal RNA, 483 nt
Filed under: uncultured bacterium
Lineage: Bacteria
Description: partial 16S ribosomal RNA
Rfam family: Bacterial small subunit ribosomal RNA
Source: RNAcentral
AUUGAACGCUGGCGGCAUGCUUUACACAUGCAAGUCGAACGGAAGCGCGGGCUUCUGCUUGGCGGCGCGUGGCGAACGGGUGAGUAAUGCAUCGGAACGUGCUCAGUAGUGGGGGAUAGCCCGGCGAGAGACGGAUUAAUACCGCCUACGACCUGAGGGUGAAAGAGGGGGACCGAGAGGGCUUUGUCUAUUUGGGAGGCCGAGGUCGGAUUAGCGAGUUGGUGGGGUAAAGGCUCCCACGGCGACGAGCCGUAGCUGGUCUGCGAGGAGGAACAGCCACACGGGGACUGAGACACGGACCAGACUCCUACGGGGGGCAGCAGUGGGGAAGUUGGGAGAAGGGGGGCAACCCUGAUCCAGCGAGGCAGCGUGCGGGAAGAAGGCCUUCGGGUGGUAAACGGCUUUUGUUCGGGAAGAAAUCCUCUGGGCUAACACAGCGUGGGGGUGACGGUACCGGAAGAAUAAGCACCGGCUAACUACGUG